RNAcentral lists this ribosomal RNA (497 nucleotides) under uncultured bacterium. RNAcentral describes it as "partial 16S ribosomal RNA". It matches the Rfam family "Bacterial small subunit ribosomal RNA", at positions 28 to 507 of the family's 1533-position model. The record is from RNAcentral.
GAUGAACGCUGGCGGCGUGCCUAAUACAUGCAAGUCGAGCGAACGGACGAGAAGCUUGCUUCUCUGAUGUUAGCGGCGGACGGGUGAGUAACACGUGGAUAACCUACUUAUAAGACUGGGAUAACUUCGGGAAACCGGAGCUAAUACCGGAUAAUAUUUUGAACCGCAUGGUUCAAAAGUGAAAGACAGUCUUGCUGUCACUUAUAGAUGGAUCCGCGCUGCAUUAGCUAGUUGGUAAGGUAACGGCUUACCAAGGCGACGAUGCGUAGCCGACCUGAGAGGAUGAUCAGCCACACUGGAACUGAGACACGGUCCAGACUCCUACGGGAGGCAGCAGUGGGGAAUCUUGCGCAAUGGGCGAAAGCCUGACGCAGCAACACCGCGUGAGUGAAGAAGGUCUUCGGGUCGUAAAGCUCUGUUAUUGGGAAAGAACAUAUGUGUAAGUAACUGUGCACAUCUUGACGGUACCUAAUCAGAAAGCAACGGCUAACUUCGUG